This 32-nucleotide transfer RNA is filed under the name Craugastor noblei (Noble's robber frog). RNAcentral describes it as "partial tRNA-Met". The record is from RNAcentral. Lineage: Eukaryota; Metazoa; Chordata; Amphibia; Anura; Craugastoridae.
UUGCAAAGGAGGGGGUUAGCCAUCAUGUUUGG